GAUGAACGCUGGCGGCGUGCCUAAUACAUGCAGGUCGAGCGAACGGACGAGAAGCUUGCUUCUCUGAUGUUAGCGGCGGACGGGUGAGUAACACGUGGAUAACCUACCUAUAAGACUGGGAUAACUUCGGGAAACCGUAGCUAAUACCGGAUAAUAUUUUGAACCGCAUGGUUCAAAAGUGAAAGACGGUCUUGCUGUCACUUAUAGAUGGAUCCGCGCUGCAUUAGCUAGUUGGUAAGGUAACGGCUUACCAAGGCAACGAUGCAUAGCCGACCUGAGAGGGUGAUCGGCCACACUGGAACUGAGACACGGUCCAGACUCCUACGGGAGGCAGCAGUAGGGAAUCUUCCGCAAUGGGCGAAAGCCUGACGGAGCAACGCCGCGUGAGUGAUGAAGGUCUUCGGAUCGUAAAACUCUGCUAUUAGGGAAGAACAUAUGUGUAAGUAACUGUGCACAUCUUGACGGUACCUAAUCAGAAAGCCACGGCUAACUACGUG
Molecule: ribosomal RNA, 497 nt
Filed under: uncultured bacterium
Lineage: Bacteria
Description: partial 16S ribosomal RNA
Rfam family: Bacterial small subunit ribosomal RNA
Source: RNAcentral